CUCCGGUUGAUCCUGCCGGACCUGACUGCUAUCGGAUUGGUACUAAGCCAUGCGAGUCGUUGUAGCAAUACAAGGCGGACGGCUCAGUAACACGUAGUCAACCUAACCUAUGGACGUGGAUAACCUCGGGAAACUGAGAAUAAACCACGAUAGAUCAUUAUGCCUGGAAUGGCUUAUGGUUCAAACAAUUUAUUGCCGUAGGAUGGGACUGCGGCCUAUCAGCUUGUUGGUGAGGUAAUGGCCCACCAAGGCUAUAACAGGUACGGGCUCUGAGAGGAGAAGCCCGGAGAUGGGUACUGAGACACGGACCCAGGCCCUAUGGGGCGCAGCAGGCGAGAAACCUUAGCAAUGUGCGAAAGCACGACUAGGUUAAUCCGAGUGAUUUCUGUUGAAGAAAUCUUUUGUCAGUCGUAAAACCACAGACGAAUAAGGGGUGGGCAAGUCUGGUGUCAGCCGCCGCGGUAAUACCAGCACCUCGAGUGGUCAGGAGGUUUAUUGGGCCUAAAGCAUCCGUAGCCGGCUACGCAAGUCUCCGGUUAAAUCCAGCUGCUCAACAGAUGGGCUGCCGGAGAUACUACAUAGCUAGGGAGCGGGAGAGGUAGACGGUAUUCUGUGGGUAGGGGUAAAAUCCACUGAUCCAUAGAGGACCACCAGUGGCGAAGGCGGUCUACCAGAACGCGUUCGACGGUGAGGGAUGAAAGCUGGGGGAGCAAACCGGAUUAGAUACCCGGGUAGUCCCAGCUGUAAACGAUGCAAACUCGGUGAUGCAUUGGCUUAUGGCCAAUGCAGUGCCGCAGGGAAGCCGUUAAGUUUGCCGCCUGGGAAGUACGGACGCAAGUCUGAAACUUAAAGGAAUUGGCGGGGGAGCA
Molecule: ribosomal RNA, 869 nt
Filed under: uncultured archaeon
Lineage: Archaea
Description: bacterial SSU rRNA
Rfam family: Archaeal small subunit ribosomal RNA
Source: RNAcentral